RNAcentral lists this transfer RNA (23 nucleotides) under Haringtonhippus francisci. RNAcentral describes it as "partial tRNA-Lys". The record is from RNAcentral. Lineage: Eukaryota; Metazoa; Chordata; Mammalia; Perissodactyla; Equidae.
AGGGUUUAACCCCUCCCUAGUGA